AAGUAGGGACGACCCUACCGCUCCUUCGCACACUGGGGACGGCCCCA
This 47-nucleotide non-coding RNA is filed under the name Kapaibacterium (SeqCode). RNAcentral describes it as "Candidatus Kapabacteria Guanidine-II sequence". It matches the Rfam family "Guanidine-II riboswitch aptamer (mini-ykkC)". From Rfam's summary of the family: Simpler in structure and has fewer highly conserved nucleotide positions than the ykkC-yxkD leader. Despite this each of its two stem-loop structures directly bind free guanidine. Therefore, mini-ykkC RNA motif represents a distinct class of guanidine-sensing RNAs. Lineage: Bacteria; Pseudomonadati; Bacteroidota; Eximiradiia; Eximiradiales; Kapaibacteriaceae (SeqCode). The record is from RNAcentral.